AUUGAACGCUGGCGGCAGGCCUAACACAUGCAAGUCGAGCGGAGCGGCGGACGGGUGAGUAAUGCCUAGGAAUCUGCCUGGUAGUGGGGGCUAACGUCCGGAAACGGGCGCUAAUACCGCAUACUAUCAGAUGAGCCUAGGUCGGAUUAGCUAGUGGGUGGGGUAAAGGCCUACCAAGGCGACGAUCCGUAACUGGUCUGAGAGGAUGAUCAGUCACACUGGAACUGAGACACGGUCCAGAUGCCUACGGGAGGCAGAGGUGGGGAAUAUUGGAAAAUGGGCGAAAGCCUGAUCCGGCCAUGCCGCGUGUGUGAAGAAGGUCUUCGGAUUGUAAAGCACUUUAAGUUGGGAGGCGUUACCAACAGAAUAAGCACCGGCUAACUCCGUGCCAGCAGCCGCGGUAAUUC
Molecule: ribosomal RNA, 407 nt
Filed under: uncultured bacterium
Lineage: Bacteria
Description: partial 16S ribosomal RNA
Rfam family: Bacterial small subunit ribosomal RNA
Source: RNAcentral